GCCGACAAUACUUAGGAGAUAUGUGGCUAUCUGAAAAUGGAUCCUGCAAGACCUUAGAAGAACUCUGGGAUGGAGAUGUUUGAAAAUUUCUUCAAUGUCCUAUCUAUAAUGUAGUAUAUGAAUUAGCAAAAUAAUGUUCAUAUGAUAUGAUUUAAAUUUCAUAUGAUUAUGUAUUAGCUUCUCUUAUUUCACAAUGUUUCCUUGCUUAAGACCUUGAGUUGAACCAGAAUAUGACUGUGACAUUCAAAGAUGUAAGGCCUAUGUGGCUCUUCAUAUUUGUUCAAAUUCCAAAUAAAAUGUUUAUUAUUC
This 309-nucleotide long non-coding RNA is filed under the name Trifolium pratense (red clover). RNAcentral describes it as "long non-coding RNA (TPRA_LNC004021)". The record is from RNAcentral. Lineage: Eukaryota; Viridiplantae; Streptophyta; Magnoliopsida; Fabales; Fabaceae.